UACGUAGGGGGCAAGCGUUGUCCGGAUUUAUUGGGCGUAAAGAGCGUGUAGGCGGCCUGAAAGGUCAGCUGUGAAAACUCGAGGCUCAACCUCGAGACGUCGGUUGAAACCAUCUGGCUAGAGUCCGGAAGAGGAGUGUGGAAUUCCCGGUGUAGCGGUGAAAUGCGCAGAUAUCGGGAAGAACACCCGUGGCGAGGGCGGCACUCUGGGACGGUACUGACGCUGAGACGCGAAAGCGUGGGGAGCGCACAGG
This 253-nucleotide ribosomal RNA is filed under the name uncultured bacterium. RNAcentral's name for it is "partial 16S ribosomal RNA". It matches the Rfam family "Bacterial small subunit ribosomal RNA", at positions 524 to 776 of the family's 1533-position model. The record is from RNAcentral.